Non-coding RNA from Pelobates cultripes (western spadefoot toad), 111 nucleotides. NCBI's taxonomy places the organism in Eukaryota, Metazoa, Chordata, Amphibia, Anura, Pelobatidae. The record is from the annotation of a GenBank genome assembly.
CUGUGUUCUCUCUGCUCUGCUCCCUCGCACGCUGCUUGCUUAUGCCGAGAGGCAGAAUAUGACGUCAUCAGUAGACAACCUGUGAGGGAGCAGAGCAGAGAGAACACAGUU